AUCCUUACCUGGCAGGGGAGGCACUGUGAUCACCCAGGUGGUUUUCCCAGGGCGAGGCGUAUCCAUUGUACCCUGGAUGUGCUGACCACUGUGAUUUCUCCAAAUGUGGGAAAUUCAACGGGGUAAUUCUUGCGAGUGGGGGACUGUGUUCAUGCUUUUUUCUG
Nycticebus coucang (slow loris) is the source of this 164-nucleotide small nuclear RNA. RefSeq annotates it as U1 spliceosomal RNA. The record is from RefSeq and is a predicted model, not a curated record. The transcript has a single exon. NCBI's taxonomy places the organism in Eukaryota, Metazoa, Chordata, Mammalia, Primates, Lorisidae.